This 423-nucleotide long non-coding RNA is filed under the name Notechis scutatus (mainland tiger snake). RNAcentral describes it as "lncRNA (ENSNSUG00000014003.1)". The record is from RNAcentral. Lineage: Eukaryota; Metazoa; Chordata; Lepidosauria; Squamata; Elapidae.
GGGGGUAAAGAGCAAUUUGUGGCGUGGUCGGGGACGGCUCGCGUUUGUUUUUCUGCCGAGCUGUCCCCUUCACGUUCAAAGUGGCUGGAAAGCUGUUUGCUUUCCCGGCGUGGCCCCAGCUCCACCCAUAGUUAGCGCUUAAUAUCUAUUCCACCUCGUUCUUUUCCCCCCUCCCCCACUAAGUAGUUCGAAAGGCACAGCCACCUACUUACUCCGGUUAGCUUCUCUGAAGCCGACAAAACUAAGGCGGGGCGGGAAUCUAAACUUGUUGCGCCUCAUAUUCUGUGGAUCAUUAGGAAAAAUAUAUUCAAAACAAGAUACUAAUUGAUAUUGGGAGAAGUGCAUACUCUCAUCUCUGCUUGCAAGAAAGUGGCAUUCUGUACCCUUCUAAAGGACAAUACAUCAAGGCUGACUGUGCAGCUA